GAACACUGAACCCUGCAGCUCUCCAUAGACUGAACACCGAACCCUGCAGCUCUCCAUAGACUGAACACCGAACCAUCCAGCUCUCCAUAGACUGAACACCGAACCAUCCAGCUCUCCAUAGACUCAAUACUGAACCCUGCAGCUCUCCAUAGAAUGAACACCGAACCCUGCAGCUCUCCAUAGACUGAAUACUGAACCAUCCAGCUCUCCAUAGUCUGAACACUGAACCCUGCAGCUCUCCAUAGACUGAACACAGAACCCCGCAGCUCUCCAUAGACUGAACACCGAACCAUCCAGCUCUCCAUAGACUGAAUACUGAACCCUGC
Non-coding RNA from Pelobates cultripes (western spadefoot toad), 326 nucleotides. The record is from the annotation of a GenBank genome assembly. NCBI's taxonomy places the organism in Eukaryota, Metazoa, Chordata, Amphibia, Anura, Pelobatidae.